CCUGACGCAGCGACGCCGCGUGAGUGAAGAAGGCCUUAGGGUUGUAAAGCUCUGUAUUCGGGGACGAAGAGGCGGGGAGUUAAGAGCUUUUCGUUAUGACGGUACCCGAAGAGGAAGCCCCGGCUAACUACGUGCCAGCAGCCGCGGUAAGACGUAGGGGGCGAGCGUUGUCCGGAAUCACUGGGCGUAAAGAGCACGUAGGCGGAUAUACAAGUCAGGUGUGAAAGACCGGGGCUCAACCCCGGGGUUGCACUUGAGACUGUAUAUCUUGAGGACAGGAGAGGGCAGUAGAAUUCCUGGUGUAGCGGUGAAAUGCGUAGAAAUCAGGAGGAAUACCGGUGGCGAAGGCGGCUGUCUGGACUGGACCUGACGCUGAGGUGCGAAAGCGUGGGUAGCAAACAGGAUUAGAUACCCUGGUAGUCCACGCUGUAAACGAUGGAUACUAGGUGUAGGAGGUAUCGACCCCUUCUGUGCCGCAGCUAACGCAAUAAGUAUCCCGUCUGGGGAGUACGGUCGCAAGGCUGAAACUCAAAGGAAUGGACGGA
RNAcentral lists this ribosomal RNA (545 nucleotides) under uncultured bacterium. RNAcentral describes it as "bacterial SSU rRNA". It matches the Rfam family "Bacterial small subunit ribosomal RNA", at positions 382 to 917 of the family's 1533-position model. The record is from RNAcentral.